AAUCCAUAGGUUAAUGAGGCGAACCGGGGGAACUGAAACAUCUAAGUACCCCGAGGAAAAGAAAUCAACCGAGAUUCCCCCAGUAGCGGCGAGCGAACGGGGAGGAGCCCAGAGCCUGAAUCAGCAUGUGUGUUAGUGGAAGCGUCUGGAAAGGCGCGCGAUACAGGGUGACAGCCCCGUACACAAAAGCGCAUGUGCUGUGAGCUCGAUGAGUAGGGCGGGACACGUGGUAUCCUGUCUGAAUAUGGGGGGACCAUCCUCCAAGGCUAAAUACUCCUGACUGACCGAUAGUGAACCAGUACCGUGAGGGAAAGGCGAAAAGAACCCCGGCGAGGGGAGUGAAAAAGAACCUGAAACCGUGUACGUACAAGCAGUGGGAGCCCCACCACCAAAGCGUUUCGCUUUGUGUGGUGCACAAAGAAGCGUAACGACAGCACUGAAUGACGGUUAACGGAGCGCAAGCGACGUUCAACAUACAAAGUCAAGCAGUGGAGCGCUUUGGGGUGGGGUGACUGCGUACCUUUUGUAUAAUGGGUCAGCGACUUAUAUUCUGUAGCAAGGUUAACCGAAUAGGGGAGCCGGAGGGAAACCGAGUCUUAACCGGGCGUUAAGUUGCAGGGUAUAGACCCGAAACCCGGUGAUCUAGCCAUGGGCAGGUUGAAGGUUGGGUAACACUAACUGGAGGACCGAACCGACUAAUGUUGAAAAAUUAGCGGAUGACCUGUGGCUGGGGGUGAAAGGCCAAUCAAACCGGGAGAUAGCUGGUUCUCCCCGAAAGCUAUUUAGGUAGCGCCUCGUGAAUUCAUCUCCGGGGGUAGAGCACUGUUUCGGCUAGGGGGCCAUCCCGGCUUACCAACCCGAUGCAAACUGCGAAUACCGGAGAAUGUUAUCACGGGAGACACACGGCGGGUGCUAACGUCCGUCGUGAAGAGGGAAACAACCCAGACCGCCAGCUAAGGUCCCAAAGUCAUGGUUAAGUGGGAAACGAUGUGGGAAGGCCCAGACAGCCAGGAUGUUGGCUUAGAAGCAGCCAUCAUUUAAAGAAAGCGUAAUAGCUCACUGGUCGAGUCGGCCUGCGCGGAAGAUGUAACGGGGCUAAACCAU
Molecule: ribosomal RNA, 1104 nt
Filed under: Salmonella enterica
Lineage: Bacteria; Pseudomonadati; Pseudomonadota; Gammaproteobacteria; Enterobacterales; Enterobacteriaceae
Also listed under: 2 other names
Description: partial 23S ribosomal RNA
Rfam family: Bacterial large subunit ribosomal RNA
Source: RNAcentral